GUGAUUUGAGUAUUCAGACAACUGCAUUGUUAAUACUGAGGUUAAUGCAGAAUGGUUGUCGCAAGUUAAUAAGUAUGAUAGAAUCUUUCAAAAAGAUCCAACACAAAGUAGUAAUGAAGUCUUUGCCUUUCAAAUGCUCUGCUAUGCAUAAACUUGCACAGCAGGCUUCAUGUUCAUCCUGUUGAAAUAACUUAGUUUUUCAGUUGAACAACUAGGAGACAAUUAAGUAUUUUAGGUUGCAACGCAG
RNAcentral lists this unclassified non-coding RNA (247 nucleotides) under Hevea brasiliensis (rubber tree). Lineage: Eukaryota; Viridiplantae; Streptophyta; Magnoliopsida; Malpighiales; Euphorbiaceae. The record is from RNAcentral.